Molecule: ribosomal RNA, 465 nt
Filed under: uncultured bacterium
Lineage: Bacteria
Description: partial 16S ribosomal RNA
Rfam family: Bacterial small subunit ribosomal RNA
Source: RNAcentral
CCUACGGGAGGCAGCAGUGGGGAAUCUUCCACAAUGGGCGCAAGCCUGAUGCAGCAACACCGCGUGAGUGAAGAAGGGUUUCGGCUUGUAAAGCUCUGUUGUUGGGGGAGAAAGUGCGUGAGCGUAACCGCUCACGCAGUGACGUUAUCCAAAAGGAACGUCUCAGCUAACUACGUCCCAGCAGCCGCGGUAAUACGGAGGUGGCAAGCGUUAUCCGGAUUUAUUGGGCGUAAAGGGAGCGCAGGCGGUAGGUUAGGUCUGAUGUGAAAGCCUUCGGCUUAACCGAGGAAGUGCAGCGGAAACCGGGAGACUUGAGUGCAGUAGAGGACAGUGGAAUUCGAGGUGUAGCGGUGGAAUGCGUAGAUAUAUGGAAGAACACCGGUGGCGAAGGCGGCUCGCUGGACUGCAACUGACGCUGAGGCUCGAAAGCGUGGGUAGCGAACAGGAUUAGAUACCCUUGUAGUC